This 75-nucleotide transfer RNA is filed under the name Radix sp. MOTU3. RNAcentral's name for it is "tRNA-Pro". The record is from RNAcentral. Lineage: Eukaryota; Metazoa; Mollusca; Gastropoda; Lymnaeidae.
UUUCAAAAACAGUUUUUGAAAACAUUAACUUUGGAAGUUAAAGGAUUAAGAUUUUAAUUUUUGGGUUAAAUACUU